RNAcentral lists this unclassified non-coding RNA (291 nucleotides) under uncultured bacterium. RNAcentral describes it as "partial contains 16S ribosomal RNA and 16S-23S ribosomal RNA intergenic spacer region". It matches the Rfam family "Bacterial small subunit ribosomal RNA", at positions 88 to 356 of the family's 1533-position model. The record is from RNAcentral.
GUAUCUAGUGGCAAACGGGUGAGUAACAUGUAGGCGACCUGCCCUGGAGAAGGGGAUAACAGCUCGAAAGAGGUGCUAAUACCCUAUAUGCUCACAGAGGUUAGAGGCACAGUGAGGAAAGGUGAAGACGCUCCGGGAGGGGCCUGCGGCCCAUCAGGUAGUUGGUGAGGUCACGGCUCACCAAGCCGGGGAAGGGUAGGGGGCUUGAGAGGGUGGUCCCCCACACGGGCACUGAGAGACGGGCCCGAGGUCAUACGGGAGGCAGCAUUCCGAUCUUGCGGAAAACUCGAG